AAUCUAGUGUAUAACUGGAAUGACACUACAGAUCAGUGAGGAAAGAAUGGGUUGCUCAAUAAAUGAUGUUAUGAUCAUUUUUUUUCCAUGUGGACAACAACGACACAAGAAAGCAUACACAAAAAUAAAUAAAAGGGAAAAAAGAUGUAGAUAUGGAAACCACAAACUUAAGACUUUGGGGAAAAAUAUAGAAUAUUUCUAUGAGCUUGGAGAAGGAAAAAAAUGAUGAAAACAAGACCCAAAAAGAAAAAAUGUAAAUGAAAAUAGGAAAGUUAACGGAGUUAAAAUUAAUAACACUUCUUAAUCAAAAGAUUCCUAAAUGCAAAGAUAAGCAAAAAGGAAAAGCCUGCCUCCCCACAAAGCAGUGGUAAAACAUACGACACACACACACUCACACACUGUACACGCUUAUGUGUACACACCAUCCCUAAAAAUAUCCCUGAACGGGGGCACCCAGAGAUAUGUCCAAGUAUAUUCAAAGAACCAUUAUCUGUACUGAGCUACUAUUACAACUUUUAACACAGAUGAAGCCCUGAUACAAAAAAUUUAAUGAAAAUGCAAGAUGCAGGAUACACAUAAUAUGGUUUACAUAAAGAUAAAGAAAUAACAAAAGUAUACUGUAUAUGGUUGAGAAUAGCCCGGGCUGACUAUAUAAUUUUUGGGCUCAGUGCAAAAUGAAAGUGUGGGAUCCCUUUGUUCCAAAAGCAGGGGAAAAGCUUUUUUCUUUCUUUCAUGGUCUCUCUCUAUAGAUAAUGGCCAUAGUAUCUUGACAAUUCAUAGAAAAAGAAAGUAUAUUAACUCCAAACAUUUGCAAAAGCACUCAACUUACAAAAUAUGCAAAGAAACCAUUUUUUACCCAUUGGAUUGACAAAUAUAAAAAAAUUGAUAACACACUGUCUUACCAAGACACUCUCAAAUAGUGCUAAUGGAGAAAUGAAAGGACACAGCCAUUUUCAAAAAUAAUUUGUCAAUAUCUUUCAAAAUUUCACGUCAAAAACCCUUUGAUUCUAUGGGAACUUCUCCUACAUGCUUGAAAUUAUACGUAUAAAAGGAUGUUAAUUGCAGCGUUUUAUAAUUCCAAAAGAUUGGAAAUACCCUAACUAGCCUAAAGCAAGAGAGAGGCCAUAUCUGGGUCUUUGGAAGGAUAAUGGAAUGAUAUAUUAAGCAACCAUUAAAAUAUUGAGGUAGGUCUGUCUGUGCUAAUAAAUGAUCACCAACAUAUAUUGUUGAGUGAAAAAAUAAAAAGAAUGUUUUGCAAAAGAAUGUGACUAAUAUGCUAUCAUAUUUGUUGGAGAGUAAAGAGUGAGGGGAGAGAGAGACAGAGACAGAGAAUAUUUUUUCAUAUAUAUGUACUGUUGUUUGAUGUUUGCGCCUCUCCAAAUUCAUGUUGAAAGUCCCCAGUGCAACACUGUUAAGAGCUGGGUCCUUUAGGAGGUGAUUUAUAAAGGAUUGGUGUCCUUAUGAAAGUGACUGAGGGAGAGAGUUCAUCCUUUUUGCCCUUCCACCAUGUGGGGACACAGAAAGAAGAUGCCAUCUUGGAAGGAGAGAGCAAGUCUUCACCAGACACUACAGCUGUCGGCACCUUGAUGCUGGACUUCCCAGCCUCUAGAAUUGUCAGAAAUGAAUUUCCAUUGUUUAUAAAUUACCCAGUCUAAGGUAUUUUGUUAUAGCAACCAGAGUAGACUAAGACAACACACCUCUUCUGAAAUGAUAGAGUGGGUAACAGUGAUUGUUCUUUAGGAAGGAAACCAGGACUUUAAAAAAACUUUGUGCACUUAACAUUUUAAUUUGUGUCCACACACUACCUUUUAAAACAAUUUUUUUUAAAGUCAAAGUUUACAUUAUGUGCUUACAUGAUUGCCAGUUUAUUAUCAAUGAAAAGCUACAAUAUUAUUUCAACAACAGAUAAUUAUUAAGAAAUAAGAGGACCCCAGUGUGCCUGCUGAACAAAGAGAGAAGGACAUUUUGGAGAACAUAAAACAUUCUACAUUGGCUUUUGAUGUGUCCGAAGUGAAACAUACAUACUCCCCAGAGCAAGGACAUAGGUCCAGGUCGUAGAUUCUGCUAUCAGGAUCUCCUCAUCCAUGGAUCAGCACACAGCCCUAGGCCUACCUACCAUCUCUUAAGAGGGAACUGCACAAGACACUUCAUUCUCUUUAAUCUGCUCUACCCUGUCAUAUACCGUUGUUUAUGAUGCUAACAAUUACGAUGGUGCAAUAGCACACUCAGUGACUCAUCAGCGCCCGCCUUCCAGAGGCACUCAGCUUUCACAUACGCGGCUGGAGUGCAGUGGUGUGAUCAUAGCUCACUGCAACCUCAAAUUCCUGAGCUCAACGGAUCCUCCCUCCUCAGCCUCUUCAGUAGCUGGGACUACAAGCACGCCAAACUGUGUACUUCUAUCAUAGGUCCUCUCAAUACCUGAAGAUGAUUGACUGAAUUCUGGGGGUGACUACACUUCCUUUGGGAAGACAGCUCCUAGUUCUCCUGUGCAUGGGAAUCCCUUCUGAAAAUGUAAUUGCCUGUCAUCAAGAAAAGAAAGAAGUCCUCUGUCAUACCCACUCCCCUUCUUUUUGAGGAAAAGAUCCUUUACUAUUGUGGGCAAAAAGGGACUCGCCCCUUGAUCCAUAUCCAUAUUCCCAUUGAGCCCUGUAGGGAAGAUUCACCUCGAGAGGAGUGGAGGAUAUCCAUGAGCAAACAUGGCAGCCGACUGGCAGUUUCAAAGGGGCCUUGAAAAUAAAUCUAUUUCUAUUUCGCCCUUCAUGAUAUGUGAUGUAGGAGUGCUUUCCAACUACUCUCUGUUGCCACACUGAUGGUUGAUGACAUUUAUAUACAUAGCACCAUCAUUCAUUCAUAUCAGACAUAUCCAUGGAGCACCUGCGAUGUGUCAGGUGCUUUUUUAGGCACCAGCAAUACAACAGAGAACAACUAGACAAUAAUUAAUCCCCUUGAGAAUUUACAUUUCAGUAAUGCAGACAGGUAAAAGAUAAGUAAGACACAUAUAUACAUUUAAAUUAUAAGUAUUUAUUUAAUUAUUGCUGAAAACAGCAGUACAUUGGAAAACAAGAAAAAAUCAUGUAAAAUAAUAUAAAAAUAGGAAAAAUGAUUCAAAAUAAGAUUACAAAUAUUAAAGACAAAGCAGUUUCAUCAUUGUCUAAGUGAUUGAUAUGGUUUGGCUGUGUCCUCACCCAAAUCUCAACUUGAAUUGUAUCUCCCAGAAUUCCCACGUGUUGUGGGACGGACCCGGGCGAGGUAAUUGGAUCAUGGGGGCCGAUCUUUCCCAUGCUGUUUUCAUGAUAGUGAAUAAGUCUCACGAGAUCUGAUAGGUUUAUCAGGGCUUUCCACCUUUGCUUCUUCCUCACUUUCUCUUGCUGCCACCAUGUAAGAAGUGCCUUUCACCUCCCGCCAUGAUUCUGAGGCCUCCCCAGUCCUGUGGAACUGUAAGUCCAAUUAAACCUCUUUUUCUCCCCAGUCUCAGGUAUGUCUUAAUCAGCAGCAUGAAAAUGGACUAAUACAGUGACAUAUCCAAAAAUAAUAAUAGAACAAACAGUACAUGGGUUCAGUACAUUAUUACAAAAUGUUCUUAAAAUAGUCUUGAAUAUUUGAAAAGUUAGUGCAUUUCAAGGAUAAAGAAAAUAUCCCAUGGAAAAUUUCUGUGGAAAACUCAAAGUAUUUACAAAAUUUUAGAAAAAAACAUUCUCUUAAACUUGUUCAUAAUUAUAUUUAAUGUCCAGAGUGUACAAAACUUUGUUAUAAACCCAAGAAAUUUUGUCCAUAGCUAAGUUGUCCUUUGGGUCAGGAAUACAAGUACUAUCACCCAGACAUUCUCGAACAUGAGAGAAGGCAUUCUCCAUGAGCCUCACUUGAAAAAUACUCGAGAUCUGAGGACAGUAUCUUUUCAACCAUAAGUGAAUCAGAAUAGAUAAAAAUCAAAAAUGAAAAAGCUAUGGUAAAAGACCUGACAGUCAACAUAGAAUCUAUUUAUUAAAUUCUAUAAAAAAGAUGGAAUUAUGAGGACAAAACAUAACGUAUAUGUAAAAACUGGAGAGUUAAGAGAAGGAGAGGCAGGAUAAGUACAAGGGGAUUAAUUUUCUCACAUUAAUAGUGGGAAGUCAAUUGAUAUGGCCUGACACUGAAAAACACAACCAAAUACACAUUCACAUCAUGAUUUGAAACUCAUGUUGUUUUUCAUUAUCUUCCUUUAAACUUGGAGAAAUAUUUUAGAAACUCAUAGCACUCAUGGUGAACAAAUGUUUUCUUCUAUUACGUAAUAGGAUCUUAUUUUAGAAAAUUAUGCCUAAUCAUCUUGAUCUCUGCAUAAAUGCAUAGAAAAAUAACACAGAUAAUGUUCACCAGAUGUAGGAAGUGAUUAUUUCUGGGUGGCAGGAUUUGGAAUAAUUUUUAACUUGCCUCCUUUAAUUUUUCUAUAUUGUUUGACUAGUCAUAAUGAGUACAUACAAUUUUUUAUGUGAAAACAAUUAAUUUACAAAAGACAUGCCUAUAAUUCUUUAUUCAAAAUCCUUGGGACGAGAUAUAUUUCAAAGUUAGAAUUUUUCAAAGUUUAGAAAAAUAAUAGGGUGCUUAUGGAACAUCCUUUGAGAGUCUGGGCCAGCAUCCCCAAAUCAAGCAUGUUAAUAUCACUAGGGCAAAAAUAAGAAUAUUCAUACAAAAAAAUUAUGACUAUAAUUAACUUUUCUAAUGUCAGUUCAGGUCAGGAGUUAUCAAACUGAUAAAUGAUCAUGAUUUUUAGGCAAAUCAACAAAAAUGUUUUUACUUUCAGGGCUCUUUGAUUAUAUUUAAUAGUUUUAUGGAUAAGGAAAUAUGGAUCAUCAUGCAACAGUUACCCAUUUUUCAGGGUUUUGCUUUCUUUGGCUUUGGUUUCCUGUAGUCAAUCAUGUUCUGAAAAUAGGCGAGUACAGUACAAUCAAAUGUUUUGAGACAGAUUACAUUUACAUAACUUUUAUUACAGUAUAUUGCUAUAAUUGCUUUAUACUAUUACAGUCAUGUAAUAAUAUAAAGUCAUGGACCACAUAUAUCAUGGUGGUCCCAUAAGAUUUAUAAUGAAGCUGAAAAACUUCUAUUAUCUAGUGAUGCUUUGAUGAUCUGUACCCUGUGUAAGUCUAGGAUAAUAUGUGUGUUAGUGCCUUAGUUUUUAACAAAAAAGUUUAACAUUAAAAAAAAAUUAACAACAAAACAAUUUAUAGGAUAAGGAUAUGAAGAAAUAAAUUAUUUUUGUACAGCCAUAUAAUGUGUUUGUGUUUUAAGCAUUUAUUACAAGGGUUAAAAUGUUAAAAAAAAUUUUAAAGUUUGUAAAGUGAAAGUUACAGUAAGGUAAAGAUUAAUUUAUUAUUGAAGAAAUUUUAAAAAUAAGUUUAGUGUAGCCUGAGUGUACAGUAUUUAUAGAGUCUACAGUCACGUACAGUAAUGUCCUAGGCCUUUACAUUCACUCACCAUUCACUCACUGACUCACCCAGAGCAACUUCCAGCCCUGCAAGUUCCAUUCAUGGUAAGUGCCCUAUACAGGUGGACCAUUUUAAAUCUUUUAUACGCUAUUUUUACUGUACCUUUUCUAUGUUUAGUUACACAAAUACUUACCAUUAUGUUACAGUUGUCUACAGUGUUGGGUGCAGUAACAUGCUGUACAGGUUCGUAGCCUAUGAGUAGUAGGCUACACAUAUAGCCUAGAUGUGUAGCAGGCUAUACCAUCAAGAUCUGUGUAAGUAUACUCUACAGUGUUCGCAAAAUGAUGAAGUUGCCUAACGACAAGCGUCUCUGAACAUAUCCCCAUCAUUAACAAUGCAUCACUGUAUUAGUUACUAUUGUUAAUCUCUCACUGUGCCUAAUUUAUACAUUUAUGAAUUAAACUUUACCAUAGGAAAAA
RNAcentral lists this long non-coding RNA (5878 nucleotides) under Macaca fascicularis (crab-eating macaque). Its description in RNAcentral is "lncRNA (ENSMFAG00000058694.1)". Lineage: Eukaryota; Metazoa; Chordata; Mammalia; Primates; Cercopithecidae. The record is from RNAcentral.